RNAcentral lists this ribosomal RNA (524 nucleotides) under uncultured bacterium. RNAcentral describes it as "bacterial SSU rRNA". It matches the Rfam family "Bacterial small subunit ribosomal RNA", at positions 356 to 896 of the family's 1533-position model. The record is from RNAcentral.
GGGGAAUAUUGGACAAUGGGGGCAACCCUGAUCCAGCAAUUCUGUGUGCACGAUGAAGGUUUUCGGAUUGUAAAGUGCUUUCAGCAGGGAAGAAAAAAAUGACGGUACCUGCAGAAGAAGCGACGGCUAAAUACGUGCCAGCAGCCGCGGUAAUACGUAUGUCGCAAGCGUUAUCCGGAAUUAUUGGGCAUAAAGGGCAUCUAGGCGGCCAGAUAAGUCUGGGGUGAAAACUUGCGGCUCAACCGCAAGCCUGCCCUGGAAACUAUGUGGCUAGAGUACUGGAGAGGUGGACGGAACUGCACGAGUAGAGGUGAAAUUCGUAGAUAUGUGCAGGAAUGCCGAUGAUGAAGAUAGUUCACUGGACGGUAACUGACGCUGAAGUGCGAAAGCUAGGGGAGCAAACAGGAUUAGAUACCCUGGUAGUCCUAGCUGUAAACGAUGAUUACUGGGUGUGGGCAUGAAGAGUGUCCGUGCCGAAGCUAAUGCGAUAAGUAAUCCGCCUGGGGAGUACGGCCGCAAGGCUG